UUAUCAUCUCACAUCAUCACAGGAAAAAAGUUUGUGUAAAAUACUAUAGCAAACAUAGGAAGCUAUUACAGUUUUCAAGACUGUCUCCUCUAUGAUUUCCAGCAGACCAGACCAAAUAAACAUCGUUGGAGUUCGUACUUUGGGAGUAGGUUUCUGCAGACCUUCAGGGAAUGUUGUCGAAAUUCUACGACUACGCAGCAGAGACUCUGAACACAGGAACUUGUGAGACUUCUCCAAAGAAGAGUUCACUUAAUAUGUCUAUAAUAAGGGGUGUCCAUGCCAGUUGCCCAAAAGAGGACUGCUGCUGUCAGUGAGAAAGACGUGAUCAGUUCCUCAGAGAUUGUGUCAAAGAAAAAGUGUGCUCUUACUAUUCUGCAAGAAUUGUUGCCUUGAGAUGCUUUUCAAAGAAAUUCCCAAGAAAGGAAAAUUACAGCUUUUGUCCUCAAGGUGAUAAAGACCUGCUUUCCCGCCUGAACCCUGGC
This is a non-coding RNA of Microcebus murinus (gray mouse lemur), 482 nucleotides long. Lineage: Eukaryota; Metazoa; Chordata; Mammalia; Primates; Cheirogaleidae. The record is from RefSeq and is a predicted model, not a curated record.